This 484-nucleotide ribosomal RNA is filed under the name uncultured bacterium. Its description in RNAcentral is "partial 16S ribosomal RNA". It matches the Rfam family "Bacterial small subunit ribosomal RNA", at positions 28 to 507 of the family's 1533-position model. The record is from RNAcentral.
AUUGAACGCUGGCGGCAUGCUUUACACAUGCAAGUCGAACGGCAGCGCGGGCUUCGGCCUGGCGGCGAGUGGCGAACGGGUGAGUAAUGCAUCGGAACGUGCCCAGUAGUGGGGGAUAGCCCGGCGAAAGCCGGAUUAAUACCGCAUACGACCUGAGGGUGAAAGCGGGGGACCGAAAGGCCUCGUGCUAUUGGAGCGGCCGAUGUCGGAUUAGCUAGUUGGUGGGGUAAAGGCUUACCAAGGCGACGAUCCGUAGCUGGUCUGAGAGCACGACCAGCCACACUGGGACUGAGACACGGCCCAGACUCCUACGGGAGGCAGCAGUGGGGAAUUUUGGACAAUGGGGGCAACCCUGAUCCAGCCAUGCCGCGUGCGGGAAGAAGGCCUUCGGGUUGUAAACCGCUUUUGUUCGGGAAGAAAUCCUCUGGGCUAAUACCCCGGGGGGAUGACGGUACCGGAAGAAUAAGCACCGGCUAACUACGUG